This 76-nucleotide transfer RNA is filed under the name Candidatus Pelagibacter sp. RNAcentral's name for it is "tRNA-Phe". It matches the Rfam family "tRNA". Rfam says of the family: Transfer RNA (tRNA) molecules are approximately 80 nucleotides in length. Their secondary structure includes four short double-helical elements and three loops (D, anti-codon, and T loops). RNAcentral also lists the same sequence under 3 other names. Lineage: Bacteria; Pseudomonadati; Pseudomonadota; Alphaproteobacteria; Candidatus Pelagibacterales; Candidatus Pelagibacteraceae. The record is from RNAcentral.
GGCCAGGUAGCUCAGUCGGUAGAGCAGAGCCCUGAAAAGGCUUGUGUCGGCGGUUCGAUUCCGUCCCUGGCCACCA